Molecule: ribosomal RNA, 465 nt
Filed under: Vreelandella stevensii
Lineage: Bacteria; Pseudomonadati; Pseudomonadota; Gammaproteobacteria; Oceanospirillales; Halomonadaceae
Description: partial 16S ribosomal RNA
Rfam family: Bacterial small subunit ribosomal RNA
Source: RNAcentral
CCUACGGGCGGCAGCAGUGGGGAAUAUUGGACAAUGGGGGCAACCCUGAUCCAGCCAUGCCGCGUGUGUGAAGAAGGCCCUCGGGUUGUAAAGCACUUUCAGUGAGGAAGAACGCCUGGUGGUUAAUACCCAUCAGGAAAGACAUCACUCACAGAAGAAGCACCGGCUAACUCCGUGCCAGCAGCCGCGGUAAUACGGAGGGUGCGAGCGUUAAUCGGAAUUACUGGGCGUAAAGCGCGCGUAGGUGGCUUGAUAAGCCGGUUGUGAAAGCCCCGGGCUCAACCUGGGAACGGCAUCCGGAACUGGCAAGCUAGAGUGCAGGAGAGGAAGGUAGAAUUCCCGGUGUAGCGGUGAAAUGCGUAGAGAUCGGGAGGAAUACCAGUGGCGAAGGCGGCCUUCUGGACUGACACUGACACUGAGGUGCGAAAGCGUGGGUAGCAAACAGGAUUAGAUACCCUGGUAGUC